This 384-nucleotide ribosomal RNA is filed under the name Tetraselmis astigmatica. RNAcentral's name for it is "partial Bacterial large subunit ribosomal RNA". It matches the Rfam family "Bacterial large subunit ribosomal RNA", at positions 142 to 573 of the family's 2925-position model. The record is from RNAcentral. Lineage: Eukaryota; Viridiplantae; Chlorophyta; Chlorodendrophyceae; Chlorodendrales; Chlorodendraceae.
AGAUGGUUAUCUUGUACUGAAUACAUAGGUGCAAGAGGCGAACCAGGGGAACUGAAACAUCUAAGUACCCUGAGGAAAAGAAAUCAACCGAGAUUCCCUUAGUAGUGGCGAGCGAACGGGGACUAGCCCUUAAGUGGCUUUGAGAUUAGCGGAACGCUCUGGAAAGUGCGGCCAUAGUGGGUGAUAGCCCUGUACGCGAAAAUCUCUUAGUCAUGAAAUCGAGUAGGACGGAGCACGAGAAACUUUGUCUGAAUAUGGGGGGACCAUCCUCCAAGGCUAAAUACUACUGACUGACCGAUAGUGAACUAGUACCGUGAGGGAAAGGCGAAAAGAACCCCGGAGAGGGGAGUGAAAUAGAUCCUGAAACCGUAUGCGUACAAGCAG